Vicugna pacos (alpaca) is the source of this 1593-nucleotide non-coding RNA. NCBI's taxonomy places the organism in Eukaryota, Metazoa, Chordata, Mammalia, Artiodactyla, Camelidae. The record is from RefSeq and is a predicted model, not a curated record.
AGAAUCUCCUCCAGCUUCUGCUCUCGCGGCAGAAAGAAGAGUCGUGCGGGGCUGACAGGCCUUCCGAGCUCCCCCGUGUUCCCUGAGCCGGCGAGCGGGCGUCACGGCCGUGAGAGCCCGCCUGCUGCUGUCCGAGCUCCCCGGACCGGCAGCGCGCUCGUUCCGUGGCAUCGGGCUGUCUCGUCCAGCCUUAAUUGAAAAAUGAGGGCGCUCUCUGCCUAUGCUGCUGUCAGGAAGCAGGGCGUGCGUCCGGGGGAAGGCGUGCAGAUGGACGGGAAGAGAAAUGUGCAACGAAGGAGUUAGUACAGAGAAACUGUGAAAAAACACGACAGAAUUUCCGGAUGCCGUUUGUUCUCAGAAAAGUCUUAAUAGUGACGCAUCAGUAUGACUUUCUUUCAGAGGCGCACACCCCAACUGGGGCUGCUGGCAAGGGCUCUGCAAUCAGAAAUUCAGACGCAAAGCUUCUCCACACGACAUUCAUGAAGACGUUUCCUUACAUCUUCUGCUUGAUGAGGGAAAAAUCCUGCCCCACGAAGGCUUCUGAGUAACUGUUGCUGUGCAUGACGUGAGGCAGGGAGCCUGCUUCUUGGCAUCUUGGGGUCACCAGCGGUCCGUCCUUCCUCCCUCGUCCCCACGGCCGGCAGGGUUGGAAGCUGCGCUGCCUGGCGGCGGCGGGGUCCGGUGUCCGCCUGCUGGGCACCCCGCGUCCUGAUUACCGCGCCUGCACAGCAGGUCUCCAUGUCUGCUCUGGGUCAUCCUAAUUAAGCUGUUCCUAUGACAGUUGUAGAAAUACGGGUUUUGACCGCUUCUAACGCAGAAGUAACCCUGCAGUCGUUCCACUGGACCUGGGUUAAAUGUGCUAACGAUUUGUUAGUCCUUCUGCGUUUGUGUAUCUGCGUGGGUUUGUUCGUGUGUAGGUUGGCCUGGCACUUUGUUGUGGUUUUGGUAAUGAGCCCUGUAACGUGAGCUGAAGGAAUGCUCACUCUUCACACAGCCCCGGACGGGUGAGCGAUGCAGUGGUGCAGCAGGUGGUGGAACUCACCUGUGGAACCAUCUGUAUUUUCUUCGUGGGUAGAUCUUGAAAUAUUGAUUCGAGGCAUUUCAUGGUCACAGGCUCAUUCAGUCCGAUUGGGGUCAGUGCGGAUAACUUAUUUUUAGGGAGGAAUUUGUUAUUUCCACAUUUUCUCCAAGUUAUUUGACCUAGAUGUGUUCUAGUACUCUUUGAUAUUUGGACUUUCAUUGUGUAUACGUAGUUAUUUUUUCUCUUAUGCUAUGCAUAUUUGAUUUUCACUUUGUAUUCUUCAGAGACUUGUUAAUUUGAUUAACCUUUUUCAAAAAAACAGAUUCUGGCCUGGUUCACCCUUUCUCCCGUACUUCCACCGUUAACUGUGUUGCACUUCGUUCCUUGUUGUUUCUUCGUUUCGGUGGGUUUAUUCUGCUAUUCUUGCAGUUAAUUAAUCUCCAGCCUUUUUUUCUUUUCUAACAUAACUUCAGGUGAUAAAUUUGCCCUGUAUCAUGACUUCGGCCACAUCUCAAAAUUAUUGAUACCUAGUAUUUUUAUUAAGUAUUUUCUAACGUCCAUUAUGAUUAUCA